Molecule: ribosomal RNA, 253 nt
Filed under: uncultured bacterium
Lineage: Bacteria
Description: partial 16S ribosomal RNA
Rfam family: Bacterial small subunit ribosomal RNA
Source: RNAcentral
UACGUAGGGGGCGAGCGUUGUCCGGAUUUAUUGGGCGUAAAGAGCGUGUAGGCGGCCAGGUAGGUCUGCUGUGAAAACUCGAGGCUCAACCUCGAGACGUCGGCGGAAACCAUCUGGCUAGAGUCCGGAAGAGGAGAGUGGAAUUCCUGGUGUAGCGGUGAAAUGCGCAGAUAUCAGGAGGAACACCUAUGGCGAAGGCAGCUCGCUGGGACGGUAUUGACGCUGAGACGCGAAAGCGUGGGGAGCGAACAGG